RNAcentral lists this unclassified non-coding RNA (300 nucleotides) under Zea mays. RNAcentral's name for it is "partial microRNA 166c precursor". The record is from RNAcentral. Lineage: Eukaryota; Viridiplantae; Streptophyta; Magnoliopsida; Poales; Poaceae.
GAUCUCGGACCAGGCUUCAUUCCCCUCAAGUAGAGCUCCCGGCUCCAUCGAUCGAUCCCUCUCGUUCUUGCCUCUCGCGCGCAUUCAUGGUGAGUUUUCUUGGGCAUCAUCGAUGCGGCGACUCGAUCUUUCUGUCCUCCUGGCUCGUUUGACUAUGGCUCGGGCCUAGAUUAUGCCCCCGCGCGCAGACAGAAUCAUGCAUGAAUCAUGAUUAGGAUAUGAUUAUCUCGGUGAGUGUUUCCUGUGCUGUGUUGGGUUUCGUGCGGUCAACACAUGCAGCAGAUUGGUGUAAUGAUGUGA